RNAcentral lists this ribosomal RNA (490 nucleotides) under uncultured bacterium. RNAcentral describes it as "partial 16S ribosomal RNA". It matches the Rfam family "Bacterial small subunit ribosomal RNA", at positions 30 to 507 of the family's 1533-position model. The record is from RNAcentral.
AUUGAACGCUGGCGGCAGGCCUAACACAUGCAAGUCGAACGGUAACAGGAAGCAGCUUACUGCUUUGCUGACGAGUGGCGGACGGGUGAGUAAUGUCUGGGAAACUGCCUGAUGGAGGGGGAUAACUACUGGAAACGGUAGCUAAUACCGCAUAACGUCGCAAGACCAAAGAGGGGGACCUUCGGGCCUCUUGCCAUCGGAUGUGCCCAGAUGGGAUUAGCUAGUAGGUGGGGUAACGGCUCACCUAGGCGACGAUCCCUAGCUGGUCUGAGAGGAUGACCAGCCACACUGGAACUGAGACACGGUCCAGACUCCUACGGGAGGCAGCAGUGGGGAAUAUUGCACAAUGGGCGCAAGCCUGAUGCAGCCAUGCCGCGUGUAUGAAGAAGGCCUUCGGGUUGUAAAGUACUUUCAGCGGGGAGGAAGGGAGUAAAGUUAAUACCUUUGCUCAUUGACGUUACCCGCAGAAGAAGCACCGGCUAACUCCGUG